RNAcentral lists this ribosomal RNA (468 nucleotides) under uncultured bacterium. Its description in RNAcentral is "partial 16S ribosomal RNA". It matches the Rfam family "Bacterial small subunit ribosomal RNA", at positions 28 to 507 of the family's 1533-position model. The record is from RNAcentral.
GACGAACGCUGGCGGCGUGCUUAACACAUGCAAGUCGAACGGAAAGGCCCUGCUUUUGUGGGGUGCUCGAGUGGCGAACGGGUGAGUAACACGUGAGUAACCUGCCCUUGACUUUGGGAUAACUUCAGGAAACUGGGGCUAAUACCGGAUAGGAGCUCCUGCUGCAUGGUGGGGGUUGGAAAGUUUCGGCGGUUGGGGAUGGACUCGCGGCUUAUCAGCUUGUUGGUGGGGUAGUGGUUUACCAAGGCUUUGACGGGUAGCCGGCCUGAGAGGGUGAACGGCGACAUUGGGACUGAGAUACGGCCCAGACGCCUACGGGAGGCAGCAGUGGGGAAUAUUGCACAAUGGGCGGAAGCCUGAUGCAGCAACGCCGCGUGCGGGAUGACGGCCUUCGGGUUGUAAACCGCUUUCGCCUGUGACGAAGCGUGAGUGACGGUAAUGGGUAAAGAAGCACCGGCUAACUACGUG